AUUGAACGCUGGCGGCAUGCCUAACACAUGCAAGUCGAACGGCAGCACGGGUGUUUGCACCUGAUGGCGCGUGGCGAACGGGUGUGUAGUACAUGAAAACAUGUCGUAUAGUGGGGGAAAGUCCGGCGAAAGCCGGUAUAAUACCACACACGAUGAGCGGGAGAAAGGGGGGGCCUUGGAGGUCUCGCGCUCAGGGGAGGGCCUAUGGGUGAUUAGCUUGGUGGUGGGGUAAAGGCCUACCAAGGCGACGAUCAGUAGCUGGUCUGAGAGGACGAACAGCCACACUGGAACUGAGACACGGCCCAGACUCCUACGGGAGGCAGCAGUGGGGAAUAUUGGACAAUGGGCGAAAGCCUGAUCCAGCCAUGCCGCGUGUGUGAAGAAGGUCUUCGGGUUGUAAAGCACUUUUAUCCGGAAAGAAAGCCUGUGACUUAAUACGUUCCUGUUUUGACGGUACCGGAAGAAUAAGCACCGGCUAACUACGUG
This 486-nucleotide ribosomal RNA is filed under the name uncultured bacterium. Its description in RNAcentral is "partial 16S ribosomal RNA". It matches the Rfam family "Bacterial small subunit ribosomal RNA", at positions 30 to 507 of the family's 1533-position model. The record is from RNAcentral.